This 859-nucleotide ribosomal RNA is filed under the name Paraburkholderia diazotrophica. RNAcentral describes it as "bacterial SSU rRNA". It matches the Rfam family "Bacterial small subunit ribosomal RNA", at positions 48 to 906 of the family's 1533-position model. The record is from RNAcentral. Lineage: Bacteria; Pseudomonadati; Pseudomonadota; Betaproteobacteria; Burkholderiales; Burkholderiaceae.
CUUACCAUGCAGUCGACGGCAGCGCGGGGGUAACCCUGGCGGCGAGUGGCGAACGGGUGAGUAAUACAUCGGAACGUGUCCUGGAGUGGGGGAUAGCCCGGCGAAAGCCGGAUUAAUACCGCAUACGAUCCACGGAUGAAAGCGGGGGACCGAAAGGCCUCGCGCUCAAGGAGCGGCCGAUGGCGGAUUAGCUAGUUGGUGGGGUAAAGGCCCACCAAGGCGACGAUCCGUAGCUGGUCUGAGAGGACGACCAGCCACACUGGGACUGAGACACGGCCCAGACUCCUACGGGAGGCAGCAGUGGGGAAUUUUGGACAAUGGGCGAAAGCCUGAUCCAGCAAUGCCGCGUGUGUGAAGAAGGCCUUCGGGUUGUAAAGCACUUUUGUCCGGAAAGAAAACUUCGCCUCUAAUACAGGUGGAGGAUGACGGUACCGGAAGAAUAAGCACCGGCUAACUACGUGCCAGCAGCCGCGGUAAUACGUAGGGUGCAAGCGUUAAUCGGAAUUACUGGGCGUAAAGCGUGCGCAGGCGGUGAUGUAAGACCGAUGUGAAAUCCCCGGGCUUAACCUGGGAACUGCAUUGGUGACUGCAUUGCUAGAGUAUGGCAGAGGGGGGUGGAAUUCCACGUGUAGCAGUGAAAUGCGUAGAGAUGUGGAGGAACACCGAUGGCGAAGGCAGCCCCCUGGGCCAAUACUGACGCUCAUGCACGAAAGCGUGGGGAGCAAACAGGAUUAGAUACCCUGGUAGUCCACGCCCUAAACGAUGUCAACUGGUUGUUGGGGAUUCAUUUCCUUAGUAACGAAGCUAACGCGUGAAGUUGACCGCCUGGGGAGUACGGUCGCAAGAUUAAAACUCAAGA